This 183-nucleotide ribosomal RNA is filed under the name Listeria monocytogenes. RNAcentral describes it as "partial 23S ribosomal RNA". It matches the Rfam family "Bacterial large subunit ribosomal RNA", at positions 2748 to 2925 of the family's 2925-position model. Lineage: Bacteria; Bacillati; Bacillota; Bacilli; Caryophanales; Listeriaceae. The record is from RNAcentral.
GCUAUGUAUGGACGGGAUAAGUGCUGAAAGCAUCUAAGCAUGAAGCCCCCCUCAAGAUGAGAUUUCCCAACUUCGGUUAUAAGAUCCCUCGAAGAUGACGAGGUUAAUAGGUUCGAGGUGGAAGCGUGGUGACACGUGGAGCUGACGAAUACUAAUCGAUCGAAGACUUAAUCAAUUUUUAAA